GCGGAUAUGGCGGAAUUGGCAGACGCGCCAGAUUUAGGUUCUGGUGGGACAUCCCGUGCAGGUUCGAUUCCUGUUAUCCGCA
This 82-nucleotide transfer RNA is filed under the name Eubacteriales bacterium. RNAcentral describes it as "tRNA-Leu". It matches the Rfam family "tRNA". From Rfam's summary of the family: Transfer RNA (tRNA) molecules are approximately 80 nucleotides in length. Their secondary structure includes four short double-helical elements and three loops (D, anti-codon, and T loops). Lineage: Bacteria; Bacillati; Bacillota; Clostridia; Eubacteriales. The record is from RNAcentral.